UCGAAUUGCUCUGGCUAGGACUUCAAG
RNAcentral lists this non-coding RNA (27 nucleotides) under Mus musculus (house mouse). Lineage: Eukaryota; Metazoa; Chordata; Mammalia; Rodentia; Muridae. The record is from RNAcentral.